AGUCACCUGGUGCCAGAGAGGAAGCGAGAAAGACAGAGAAGCCGCGUCGUUGUCGGAGGCGUAUUGCGUGGCCUUGCGGGGCGCCUUCGCUAGUGCCGCGAGUCAGUUGGUCCGAGCUGGAAGCUCAGCUGCUGCUGUGCGCGUGGUUCGACGCGCCGCUAUUUCGCCGUCUACUUCUUCCACUUGUUAGUGCGUUGGCCGGGCGACGUUCUGACAGCGGUGUCAGGACGAUAAGUGUACGGAGGUUUACAAAUUGCCGCGUACGAGUGUGCGCAUAUAUUGUUUGGCGGCUCGCGCGGUUUUCGUGACUGUCUGGAGUAACUGGACAUAGGCGCGCGAAGUAGAAGGUUGUUACGUUACGUUAUUGGCUUAAACGCGUUAUGGAUGUGAUAGACGCAGUGGUGCCGGAUAAACUCAGCGAUGGCGAUGGCGAUGGCAUCUGCGAAGACGCACCUAUUGUGGACGAACCAUAUAACGACGGUGGUAAGGACGCGUCGACCCGGGAUGUUGGAGGUGACGUCGACGACGAUGGCGAUGGGCCGACGGUCGAGGUUAUUUAUGAUGAACCGACUGUCGAGGUCACUUAUGACGAUCCUAUUAUUGAAGAAACCGACGAUGAUAUCACAAUGACCACUAGGCGACGGAAGACCAUUCGUACCAAGUACAGGAUCCAAGAGACCUCCGCUUCAACUAAAAAAACCACCAUGACAACAGCAGCCAAACUUUAUGGCAAGGAUUUGAGUGAGUAUGAUGAUGUUGAUGUUGAUGAACUACUAUCACAGCUUACUCCUGAAGAAAUCAAUAUUCUUGCUAAAGAAGUAGAUCCCGAUGAUAGUUUCAUGCCACCAUCUCAACGUUGCAGUUAUGAGUGCGAUAAAGAUCCAACUGGACCUUUAAAUCGCAAAAAAUUAAUCGAGCACAUCAAUAAACAAGCCAUGGAAACACCUGAUAUUCCUGAGCUGAAACCUUAUGUACCAGGUGUCGUUCGAGGGAAAAAGUGGGUACCUCCGGUAAGAGAAAAUCUUAAAGAAAAAGAAGCGGAAGAACAAAUUGCCAUUGACCUUGGUGAUGAAUAUGAACAAGCUUUAACGAAUGCUAGCGAAGAUGAAAUCAUUGAUCUAGCAGCUAUUCUUGGCUUCCAUUCAAUGAUGAAUCAAGACCAAUACCAUGCAUCAUUACUCAAUUCUGGACAACCAGUAGGACUUGGUUGGGAUGGUGUAACGAAAGCUAGUCAGCCGAAAGUUUUUCCUAUCGAUCCACCUAACGAUACGGAUGUUGACGAAACCAUUAAGCGUGCUCGUGAAGACGAUCGCACGCUAGUUGAUUUAAAUUGGAAUAAUAUUAAGAAUAUUUCUGAUGAAAAAUUUUUCCAACUAUUUGAAGCACUUGAAAAUAAUACACACCUUGAAACUCUUAGUUUAACAAAUACAGGACUUACAGACAAGACUGCGCAACGAUUAGCAGAGGCCAUAGAGAAAAAUUCGACUUUACGAGUAUUGAACGUUGAAACAAAUUUCAUAAGCCCAUCUGUGAUAGUAAAACUCGUCAAGGCUCUCCUUAAAACGAAGGCUAUCGAAGAGUUCAGAUGUUCCAACCAGAGGUCUCAAGUAUUAGGUAAUAAAAUCGAAAUGGAAAUUACGCAGCUUGUAGAACAAAAUCCAACAUUACUUCGACUUGGUCUCCACCUUGAGUUUAACGACGCAAGACAUCGGGUGGCAGCGCAUCUUCAACGAAAUAUUGACAGGAAUGGAAGCAACUGUAUGGCAGACAAUGAGGAUUAUAUGACCAAAUGCUUUUAAGCUUGCCUCUCAUUAUUCGCUUCGUAGUCUUACCUAGUGCUUUACUAGACAAAUUCAUCACUCAAUCAUCCCGAUAUAUAAAUCUAUAUUUAUUCUUUAUUUAAUUAGCAGUUUUGAGUACGGCAGUCCCGGCUCGGGGUGGCGACAUCCUAAUGCAAUGUGGUCUGUCUCUCCUAAGUAUAUUUAUAAUAUACAAUACUUUUUACUUUAGACACUCCUGCACCGCUGUAUAUAUAUAUAUUCAACUUUAGCACACUUACAAAAAAGCAACACAUGGUUAUAUAAUUAUUAUUACAACUACUAUUAUACAAUUAGCGUUUAUAAGCUUCGAUCGACCAGAUGAAGACGAAGAUACUUACAGUGCUUUAUUGUCAAAGCUGGGUUGAGCUUUUCAAUUUCAAUUUUUCAUUCAAUGCGUACACACAUUCAUAAAAAUGCGCUUAAUUCUAAUAUCGCGAUUUGUACGCAAAUAGAUAUGUAACUUUUUGUAUGUAAUUUUUGCAAGAAAAAUUUUCCAUUUUAACGCAAUUACCUGAAUACAUUCGUAAUUGUUCUGAUUAUUUUUAUGAUCUAUUUUUCAUUUUCUUCUUACACAAGUACGAUAGAAAAGGUUAGAAAUACAUUUUAUUUAUUUAUUUAUUAAUUUUUUAAAAUAUUUUCCGGAAACACAUCCGCGAAUUUUGAUGGAAACUCUUAAUGGAGUAAUAAUUUCUUGCCAAUGCAUACAUAGUUCAUAGUAAUUAUUUUAGAAGCGUGAACGAAAAUUGCCGUAUAUUUAAGACUUGAAAAUAAAAUAAUUCCUCUAUUAAUAUAAAUUUUUAAUAAUAAUCAAGCAAAUGAAUUGAGAUAAAUGAUAUGUUACUUAAGUAAAAUGAGCAUCUAAUACACUUUUUAAGAGAUUGAAAAUAUGA
Ceratosolen solmsi marchali is the source of this 2710-nucleotide RNA transcript. It is a transcript of the gene named tropomodulin, with no coding region annotated. The transcript is spliced from 10 exons. Lineage: Eukaryota; Metazoa; Arthropoda; Insecta; Hymenoptera; Agaonidae. The record is from RefSeq and is a predicted model, not a curated record.